This 189-nucleotide ribosomal RNA is filed under the name uncultured bacterium. Its description in RNAcentral is "partial 16S ribosomal RNA". It matches the Rfam family "Bacterial small subunit ribosomal RNA", at positions 1308 to 1500 of the family's 1533-position model. The record is from RNAcentral.
CAACUCGCCUGCAUGAAGUCGGAAUGCUAGUAAUCGCGGAUCAGCAUGCCGCGGUGAAUACGUUCCCGGGCCUUGUACACACCGCCGUCACACCAUGGGAGUCGGUAACACCCGAAGCCGAUAGUCUAACGAAAGAGGACGUCGUCGAAGGUGGGAUUGAUGACUGGGGUGAAGUCGUAACAAGGUAUC